CCUACGGGAGGCUGCAGUGGGGGAUAUUGGACAAUGGGGGAAACCCUGAUCCAGCGACGCCGCGUGAGUGAAGAAGUAUUUCGGUAUGUAAAGCUCUGUCAGCAGGGAAGAAAGAAAUGACGGUACCUGACCAAGAAGCGCCGGCUAACUACAUGCCAGCAGCCGCGGUAAGACGUAGGCGGCAGGAGUUAUGCGGAAUUACUGGGUGUAAGGGGAGCGUAGACGGGGAUGCAAGUCUGGAGUGAAGGGCGGGGGCCCAACCCCCGAACUGCUUUGGAGAUUGUGUAACUUGAGUGCAGGAGAGGUAAGCGGAAUUCCUAGUGUAGCGGUGAAAUGCGUAGAUAUUAGGAGGAACACCAGUGGCGAAGGCGGCUUACUGGACUGUAACUGACGUUGAUGCUCGAAAGCGUGGGGAGCAAACAGGAUUAGAUACCCCAGUAGUC
This 443-nucleotide ribosomal RNA is filed under the name uncultured bacterium. RNAcentral describes it as "partial 16S ribosomal RNA". It matches the Rfam family "Bacterial small subunit ribosomal RNA", at positions 338 to 795 of the family's 1533-position model. The record is from RNAcentral.